UGGAAAAAUAAUAGUACACGCCAUGUUUCAGAGGUGACAAAAAGCUGACGAAUGGCAUGGAUACCAGCAGUAAGGAGCCCAAGAUUACCUUCGAUAACACUCCACCACACACGAUGGUGUGUUCAAAGCAUUUUCACAAAGGCAAACCUGCCUAUGAAAUGUUGGAGUUUGAUCCUGACUGGACCCCUUCUCUGUACCACGGCCAUACUGAGGUCAAAGCCACGAACGCAGACCGGUUCAAGCCUUUUUGGAGAAUUAUAUACCAUGCUCACAUCUAAUAUGUGAAUGUUUAUUGUUUUCCAAAAGAUUUUGUAAUGUCUCUUCUCACAUGUAAUGAUUUUUAGCCAUGUCUGUAAAUAAAAUACACAAAGACU
Long non-coding RNA from Cyprinus carpio (common carp), 374 nucleotides. RefSeq lists it as uncharacterized. NCBI's taxonomy places the organism in Eukaryota, Metazoa, Chordata, Actinopteri, Cypriniformes, Cyprinidae. The record is from RefSeq and is a predicted model, not a curated record.